GGAUUAGCGGGCACACUCUUUGGAAAAUAAUUACUUGUGCCUUUGGGUGUGGGCAUUAAUUUCUUACUCUUGGGAUCUGCUCCAUUCUACAUUUCAAAUUAGACUGUGCUUUCUAACAGGGAAGUGUGUUUGCUUCCUGAUCUCAAUCUAGGGAGCUGGGGCGAGAAGCGCCCUGAGGGAGAGGGGACACUCCUGGUUGGAUUCCAAGGGUUGGGUUUGGAAAUAUCAUAAUGCACGAGAGAAAAGAUCACUUGAAAACAAACGUUUGGAUGAGUUAUUGGAUGAUGGAAACUCUUCAUAACACAAAGAGCCAACAUCCGUCUCUUCUGAACCAGUUAACACACCACCCACAUGCUGCUUUCAGACACAGCGACGCUGGCCUAAUUUAUGUGCUCACCAUUGUUCUUGCACAUUUCAGAGAUGAGACCCAACAGUCGCCAAAUCGCUUGUUGAGGAGAAAUUAGCAAAUGGAUCAAAUGAGGAAUGAGGUCAACCAAGAAUCACAGUGCUGUUCAUUUCAGACAUGGGAGCAGAAGACAAGAUUUCAGACUCAUACACACGGCGACCCCAUGCCCGACUUCAAAAAAACAGUGAUUCAUCCAGACACCAAAGCUCAGCAGCUCAGAGUCAACCUCAAAUAUAGUCAAAGCUCACCAAGUGCUCUCCCAAGAAAAAUAGAACAUAAGUGCCAGAUGACCUGCGGUAAAGACUCUUCUUCCAAAGAGUGGCUGGACUGUCCUGAUUUCAUCGCACCUACAUUAGCGUGUCAACAGGCCCUUGCAAUUCCCAACGAUCCCACUGGGCUGCUUUAUCAUUGAUUACCUGUCCAGUGCCACACAUUUCUACAAAUGCACUCUCUUUUCUUUACGGCUGCAAUGCAGGACCAUUAAAAUCGGGUGUAGGUGUUCAUUAAAAUCGGGCUGAUUGAAUGUCUUUUUUUUUUCUUGAUCAAGUAUCUCUACUGAGCUGUGAUUUAGUGAACAUCUUACACUCACCCCUGCUUUCAAGAAAGAUGAGAAACACGUAACUUUCCGUUUACUGUUGACUGAGACAACAGUUGCCUGAAAAAUUAACUAGAAAUUGAAGUAAACACCAAUAAGGAAGUUACUUCAAAAUAAUUCUCAUUAUUUCUGACUUAUCGUUUGCACCUGAAACAUCUAAGGGGAGUGCCAAUUAAAAUUAUGUGUAUUGUGGGGCACCUGGGUGACCGUUUGACUCUUGGUUUUGGCUCAGGUCAUGAGCCAUGGGAUUGAGCCCCGAGUCGAGCUCCCAGCUGUGAGGUAGCUUCUUCUCCAUCUGCCUCUCCCUCUCCUUUGUCCUCUCUCUCUCUUUUUCCUUUCUCAAAUAAAUAUAUAAAAUCUUUAGAAAAAAAUAAAAAAAUAUAUAAUUACCUGCAUUGCCUUUGAUGAUGAAUGGCUUUCUAAAACAUGUAUUAAAUAUAUGAACAGCACGAGAUGUGAUCAAUGAGUUUUAUUGCCAUGACGAUGGGUAAUAUGACUUAACAUAGUUGUAGAGCAUAAUUUGU
RNAcentral lists this long non-coding RNA (1525 nucleotides) under Canis lupus familiaris (dog). Its description in RNAcentral is "lncRNA (ENSCAFG00845024353.1)". The record is from RNAcentral. Lineage: Eukaryota; Metazoa; Chordata; Mammalia; Carnivora; Canidae.